This is a long non-coding RNA of Tyto alba (common barn owl), 1497 nucleotides long. RefSeq lists it as uncharacterized. The transcript has 3 exons. The record is from RefSeq and is a predicted model, not a curated record. Lineage: Eukaryota; Metazoa; Chordata; Aves; Strigiformes; Tytonidae.
CUGCACAGAAUAUUUUGAGUUCUAGCUUUAUUUACCUUCAUCCAAGAAUUUUGCUGGAAAGGGGCUGUUAAUAAAACACAGUCAGAAGGGAAACACCAGUGAAAACACAGAAACACAUUCAACCUCUGUCACAGGUCUAACAUCACUGGGUUCUGGUCCACAGUAACACACCUAAAUAUAUAUUGUGAAAUAUACAUGUGAUGAACUACACAUAAUAGAUUCAUGUUAACGUGGAGCUAGGCAUAUCUGAGUUCAGCACAACCAGGAGCCCAGCCUCUAUUGAACACUGUGCCCUCUAUACGUAUAAGCUACUGAUUGAUGCUCUGCUUCCUAAUUACAUGGGUGAGUAGAAAAGAAUCAAGUGUUUUCUGUUAUGCUCAAAGGCCAGAGAGAGACCAUUAUGGUAGUCUGAUCUGACUUCCCACAAGACAGAGGCCAUUUGCCAACCCUUGAAGUAACACAUAUUUUCAUUAAUAUUGGAUUUGUUGUUUCCAUUUAAAAUAUUUUGUCUAUGUGAAACAGCUGCAAAAGGUGUUAGAAAGGAGCUUCAGCAAGGAGUAAAAAACAGGAGAAUUUUGAGUCCAGCUGCUAGGGCUGAGACAAGGAAGAGAUGACCUUGCAGUUCAAAGCUUGAACUUUGAGAGGUAAGGAAGAGUUUCAAGCAGCAAGAGAAUAAACAGGGAAAGAGAGAUGACAAUUUCCAUUUAAGAGAGCAGAGAGCAAGUAGAAUAUUAAUCUUGAGAGAAUGAACUAAUACAGAUUAUGACUCCAAAAUAUGAAAAAUUCAUACUUAGGUGUACAGUUUGUCCCACUAAAGAAGAAUUUAUCUACAAGACUCUCCAUUCUGCCUUUUAAAGGAUAAAGUUUCUCCCAUGCCCAGUUCUGUACAUUUAUGGCUUUGAUUAAGUAUUGUUGUCCUUCUUACAGCUGUUAGCCAUAAGCUAGACCUGUUGUAUAAUGGGUUGACACAUCAUUGUUGAGUUUGUUGUUGACUAGCCAAGGCUUAACUGAAAUAAGCAGUAUUCAAACUGGUAUCUCCAGCUUAUUUCUAGGAACAGCAUAUUUUUCUCCACCUGACCUUAUGUUGGAUUUGUAUGUGUGACAGGUUUUUGGUAGUAGAGGAGGGGGGGCUGCAGCAAUGGUUCCUCUGAGAAGCUUCUUGAAGAUCCCUCAGCUCCAAGACAGACCUGCCUCUGGCCAAGGCUGAGCCAAUUAGUGAUGGUGAUUGUGUCUCUGUGAUAGCGGAUUUAAGAAGGGGAACCUGGGAGUAGGGGUGGGAGUUGUGAGGGAGACACCUAUGCAAACACUGAGGUCAGUGGAAAAAAAAGGAGGAGGAAGAGAGUGGGGAGGUGGGCCAGAGCAGAAACUUCCCUGCAGCCUUUGCUGAGGGGGCAGGCGGUGCCCCUGCAGCCCAUGGAGGAUUCCAUGCUGGAGCAGGUGCCCACCUGCAUCCUGUGGAGGAUCCCAUGCUGGAGCAGGUGGCUGUGCUCAAAGAAG